Molecule: long non-coding RNA, 712 nt
Filed under: Homo sapiens (human)
Lineage: Eukaryota; Metazoa; Chordata; Mammalia; Primates; Hominidae
Description: non-protein coding lnc-EFEMP1-4:1
Source: RNAcentral
AGACAAUUCGUUUUUAUACAGGAAAAAAUGAAAUUGGAUCAAUACCUGUAUCAGUUAACUAUUGUUACAAAACUGUAAUAUGGGCUGCUAAGGAGGUAGACAAACAUAGUCCCUGCCUUCCGAAAGAUCACAGCCUAGCAGAAGAGAGAGAUAACAUCCAUUUCAUUCAUGUCUACUCCACCCAACAGCUCCCUAAGGGCUGGAAACAUUCCUCAGUCAAAUGUGAGUUGGAUGGAUGGAUGGAUGAUGAUAAUGAAGAUUAAUUAUGUCAAAUCAACAAAGGAGGCUGUAAAUAAAGAGAUAGGGCAGGGAAGUGGGGAAGUGGAAUGCUCCAAAAAUGAGGAGUUAAGACUUGUGGUCCUACUCUUGGUUCUGCCACUUACUAGUGUUAACUUGGAUAAGUCGUCUAAGCUUUAAAUUUCAUGAGGGAGUUGGAGAAAAUGGCUGCCAAGAUCUCCUUUUUGUUCUUUUUCUUUUUAAUCAUAAAACGAAAUUCACCAAUUUUAAAAUCAGAUUGAAAAGUUCUUUCUGAUCCCAGCAUUUUUCCAAAUGAAUUGAACAAAUUCAAGUGUUUUAUAACUCUUGGCCCUUUUAAAAAUUAACUAUAAUUGAAGCAUCUUCUUGAACAGAGUUCUUUACAAAACACACACACACACACACACACACACACACACACACACACACACUUAAAUCCAAGCAAUUUCCUUGCAAU